RNAcentral lists this ribosomal RNA (392 nucleotides) under uncultured bacterium. Its description in RNAcentral is "partial 16S ribosomal RNA". It matches the Rfam family "Bacterial small subunit ribosomal RNA", at positions 523 to 918 of the family's 1533-position model. The record is from RNAcentral.
AUACGGAGGAUCCGAGCGUUAUCCGGAUUUAUUGGGUUUAAAGGGUGCGCAGGCGGGAGAUUAAGUCGGCGGUGAAAUUUUGCAGCUCAACUGUAAAAGUGCCUUCGAAACUGGGUUUUUGGGUGUAGAUGGAGGAGGGGGAAUUUGUGGGGUAGCGGGUAAAUGCAUAGAUAUCACGAGGAACUCCGAUUGCGCAGGCAGCUUACUAAACUACUACUGACGCUCAGGCACGAAGGCGUGGGGAUCAAACAGGAUUAGAUACCCUGGUAGUCCACGCAGUAAACGAUGAUUACUAGCUGUUUGCGAUACAAUGUAAGCGGCUGAGCGAAAGCGUUAAGUAAUCCACCUGGGGAGUACGUUCGCAAGAAUGAAACUCAAAGGAAUUGGCGGGG